AAACUAUGCAUCGGGCGUUUUCUAAUUAACUCCUUGAAUUGCUCCCAUGCUUCAUAUAAUGUUUCGUCCUCAGAUUUCCAAAAGGACAUAAUAUCAUUCCUCAGUUU
This is a small nucleolar RNA of Gossypium raimondii (Peruvian cotton), 107 nucleotides long. It matches the Rfam family "Plant small nucleolar RNA R71". From Rfam's summary of the family: R71 is a member of the C/D box family of snoRNAs containing the C (UGAUGA) and D (CUGA) box motifs. Multiple nearly identical copies of this snoRNA have been identified in Arabidopsis, and it is thought to function as a 2'-O-ribose methylation guide for 18S ribosomal RNA. The record is from Rfam. Lineage: Eukaryota; Viridiplantae; Streptophyta; Magnoliopsida; Malvales; Malvaceae.